RNAcentral lists this ribosomal RNA (612 nucleotides) under uncultured bacterium. Its description in RNAcentral is "bacterial SSU rRNA". The stretch from base 1 to 521 matches the Rfam family "Bacterial small subunit ribosomal RNA", at positions 338 to 873 of the family's 1533-position model. The record is from RNAcentral.
CCUACGGGAGGCAGCAGUGGGGAAUCUUGCGCAAUGGGCGAAAGCCUGACGCAGCCAUGCCGCGUGAAUGAUGAAGGUCUUAGGAUUGUAAAAUUCUUUCACCGGGGACGAUAAUGACGGUACCCGGAGAAGAAGCCCCGGCUAACUUCGUGCCAGCAGCCGCGGUAAUACGAAGGGGGGCUAGCGUUGCUCGGAAUUACUGGGCGUAAAGGGAGCGUAGGCGGAUAGUUUAGUCAGAGGUGAAAGCCCAGGGCUCAACCUUGGAAUUGCCUUUGAUACUGGCUAUCUUGAGUAUGGGAGAGGUUAGCGGAACUCCGAGUGUAGAGGUGAAAUUCGUAGAUAUUCGGAAGAACACCAGUGGCGAAGGCGGCUAACUGGCCCAUUACUGACGCUGAGGCUCGAAAGCGUGGGGAGCAAACAGGAUUAGAUACCCUGGUAGUCCACGCCGUAAACGAUGAGUGCUAGUUGUCGGCAUGCAUGCAUGUCGGUGACGCAGCUAACGACAUUAAGACACCUCCGCCGUCGGGGAGGUACGGUCGCGAAGAAUUAAACUAACAAUAGAAGUUAGACGGCGUGAGACGUGCCGAACGGACGACGACGAGGGGAGGUAGG